Molecule: ribosomal RNA, 661 nt
Filed under: uncultured bacterium
Lineage: Bacteria
Description: bacterial SSU rRNA
Rfam family: Bacterial small subunit ribosomal RNA
Source: RNAcentral
CGCGGCCUAUCAGCUUGUUGGUGGGGUAACGGCCUACCAAGGCAGCGAUGGGUAGCCGGCUUGAGAGAGUGGUCGGCCACACUGGGACUGAGGUACGGCCCAGACUCCUACGGGAGGCAGCAGUCGAGAAGCUUCGGCAAUGGGGGAAACCCUGACCGAGCGACGCCGCGUGGGUGAUGAAGGUCUUUGGAUCGUAGAACCCUGUCAGGUGGGAUGAAUGCUAUUCGGUUAAUACCCGAGUAGUUUGACAGUACCACCAGAGGAAGCUCCGGCUAACUCCGUGCCAGCAGCCGCGGUAACACGGGGGGAGCAAGCGUUGUUCGGAUUCAUUGGGCGUAAAGAGCUCGUAGGCGGCUCCGUAAGUCAGAGGUGAAAGACCACGGCUCAACCGUGGGAACGCCUUUGAAACUACGGAGCUUGAGGCCGGGAGAGGAAAGUGGAAUUCCUGGAGUAGCGGUGAAGUGCGUAGAUAUCAGGAGGAACACCAGUGGCGAAGGCGACUUUCUGGACCGGUUCUGACGCUGAGGAGCGAAAGCUAGGGGAGCGAACAGGAUUAGAUACCCUGGUAGUCCUAGCCGUAAACGAUGGGCACUAGGUGUGGGGGGAUCGACCCCUUCCGUGCCGCAGUUAACGCAUUAAGUGCCCCGCCUGGGGAGUACGG